RNAcentral lists this unclassified non-coding RNA (187 nucleotides) under uncultured cyanobacterium. RNAcentral describes it as "partial 16S-23S ribosomal RNA intergenic spacer". The record is from RNAcentral. Lineage: Bacteria; Bacillati; Cyanobacteriota.
CGGUUCGAGUCCGCUUACCUCCACUGAUCCACCUCCUGAUGACGAAGCCUAAGGAGAUUUUUUGAUGUGAUCUAGAUUUGUUCUACGAGAAUGAACCUAGCUUCUUAUCAGCAAUACUAAUUAUUUAAUUUGUUUGCUCGAUAGGACGCUGGGCUCACUGCAAUUUUCAUUGCAGAGAUCUUCAGCA